Molecule: ribosomal RNA, 333 nt
Filed under: uncultured bacterium
Lineage: Bacteria
Description: bacterial SSU rRNA
Rfam family: Bacterial small subunit ribosomal RNA
Source: RNAcentral
GAUGAACGCUGGCGGCGUGCUUAACACAUGCAAGUCGAAACGAAGCAUAAGAGUUGCUUGCAACACUUAUGACUUAGUGGCGGACGGUGAGUAACGCGUGGGUAACCUACCCUGUACAGGGGGAUAACAGUUAGAAAUGACUGCUAAUACCGCAUAAGCACACACUGUCACAUGGCAGAGGGUGAAAAGAUUUAUCGGUACAGGAUGGGCCCGCGUCUGAUUAGCUAGUUGGCAAGGUAAAGGCUUACCAAGGCGACGAUCAGUAGCCGGCCUGAGAGGUNAACGGCACAUUGGGACUGAGACACGGCCCAAAACUCCUACGGGAGGCAGCAG